GUUGAUGGAGUCGGCUAUAGAAGGAUAAGAUAUGGUUCUUGCUACACUCAAUAUUAUGUUUCCAUGAUAGUUGGGUUUAUCAAAUUAAUUUUGGACUAUAAAAUAUAUAUUGUAUUAUGAAAUAUUAUUUUAUAGUGGAUGUCUAUAACUCCGAAAGAAGUUACUCUCACUACUCUUCUCCAUUAAGUAGAUAACUCCCACUACUUCUCACCAUUAUAGUUGUAACUCCCACACCUCCAUAACCUCUCUACAAUCUUUUCUCAUGAUCUCAAUAGUUAAUAUUAUGUUUAUAAUAUCCCUUGUAUACCUCAAUGUCAUCCUAUAAAUAGAGGAUUUGGAUAUUAAAUUGUAUACACUUGAAUACUUGAAAGAAAUAGAUUCUCCUAUCUCUUUCUCUCUACAUUGUUGUCUAUCUUUUUAAUUUAUAUUAUUACUUUGAGCUAAGUUUUGUAAUACGUUAUCAGCACGAGUCUCUAAACAAUUGAGAUCAGCAAACAUAGAAUCAGUAAUGUUGC
This 515-nucleotide long non-coding RNA is filed under the name Nicotiana benthamiana. RNAcentral's name for it is "long non-coding RNA (NBEN_LNC023560)". Lineage: Eukaryota; Viridiplantae; Streptophyta; Magnoliopsida; Solanales; Solanaceae. The record is from RNAcentral.